UUAAUUCAUUCUUAUUUCCUUUUUGAUAAUAAAACUCAGCUUAUCAAAAAAUAAAUUAAUUAAAGUCAAGAAAGAAAGCAUGCAUAUAUAAACAUAACCUGAUGUAGUUGUAGGUAGUGUAGCCAAUAUAUUCUAUCACUUUCAAUGGAUGUGAACACUAAUCAUGUAUAGGGUAAGGGGGAACCUCAUAGGAAAAAAACUCGAAAGAUGAAUCCAAUAAGAAAAGUGUCAAAUUAGAAAACAUGCCAAUUAGCUUGUUACGAAAUGGCAGACGAUGGAACGAUUCCUGUCCUCGAUCUAUUCCAGUCCAACUCUAGCCUAGGUCAUUCUACUUACUGGAUGGGCCAUGUCUGCCAAUAGAUAUAUGUAGGGUAUGGGGUAAUGAGAUGUGGGACAUGGGAAAUAGGAA
Molecule: unclassified non-coding RNA, 409 nt
Filed under: Hevea brasiliensis (rubber tree)
Lineage: Eukaryota; Viridiplantae; Streptophyta; Magnoliopsida; Malpighiales; Euphorbiaceae
Source: RNAcentral